GACGAACCGUGCGAACGUUAUUCGGAAUCAUUGGGCUUAAAGCGCGUGUAGGCGGAUGGGAACGUCGGUGUUGAAAGCCCCUGGCUCAACCAGGGAACCGGCGCCGAAACGACCCGUCUGGAGGGACAUAGGGGGACCUGGAACUUCCGGUGGAGCGGUGAAAUGCGUUGAGAUCGGAAGGAACGCCCGUGGCGAAAGCGAGGUCCUGGAUGUUUUCUGACGCUGAGACGCGAAAGCUAGGGUAGCGAACUGG
This 253-nucleotide ribosomal RNA is filed under the name uncultured bacterium. RNAcentral's name for it is "partial 16S ribosomal RNA". It matches the Rfam family "Bacterial small subunit ribosomal RNA", at positions 524 to 776 of the family's 1533-position model. The record is from RNAcentral.